Scylla paramamosain (green mud crab) is the source of this 444-nucleotide long non-coding RNA. RefSeq lists it as uncharacterized. The transcript is spliced from 3 exons. The record is from RefSeq and is a predicted model, not a curated record. NCBI's taxonomy places the organism in Eukaryota, Metazoa, Arthropoda, Malacostraca, Decapoda, Portunidae.
UGUGGGAAACUUGUGAUUCUUUUGUGACAUUAUUUACCUAUUUUCUCACAAUAUGUAAUACGUGUUUGUGAUUAAGUGUCGUAUCUUUUUUACCCUACAAGAGUCCUCAGAGCCAUGGAUUGUUGCGGAAUCAGGGAACUUCUGUUUAAGGCCCUCCUGAGUCAGAUCCCAGCGCCACCAGAUCAUCCCCUGCACUUCAUUCUGGCCAGUGUCCCAGUCUCAGAGGUGGUCGUGGUUCAGUGCCUUCCUCUGGUGUUUUUCUACGUGCACAGUAGCGUGUUGGACCUACGCAUGGCUGCAAAAAAAAAAAAAAAAAAACACGCCACUCUUUUACCACAGAAGCAUUCAGUUCACCAAUGACGCCAAACUUUCCGGUGAGUUUCUAUUUCCGUGUCUGGUGGUGAAUUAGUUUAUCAGCAAGCACUUUGGCGUCUAUAUGGCGUC